AUCUCCCUGUGGAAAUUUGAGAC
Molecule: non-coding RNA, 23 nt
Filed under: Cricetulus griseus (Chinese hamster)
Lineage: Eukaryota; Metazoa; Chordata; Mammalia; Rodentia; Cricetidae
Source: RNAcentral